CCGGAGGAGGAAGAUCUGCUGGUUUUCCCAGCAGGGAGCCCUGUUACCAGGAGACCAGGACCUGACGGAUCUGGACUGAUUUCUGCCACGAAGUAGGCAAGGAGUUCUGCAGAAGGGUUUUUCACAGAUCCAGCUAUCACUGAAGUUCUUCAAACACGGAAACGCCUAGCUUCAGUGAUCAUGGGUCAUCUGGGCACCAGUGACGAAAUCUGGCGUGAAAAGAGCUUGCAAUAUGAGACCCCUGGGUCACUGUCACCACCACCAGAUGUGUUCCUUGGACUUUGGACUUCUCAGCCUCACAAACUCUAAG
This is a long non-coding RNA of Cynocephalus volans (Philippine flying lemur), 310 nucleotides long. RefSeq lists it as uncharacterized. The record is from RefSeq and is a predicted model, not a curated record. Lineage: Eukaryota; Metazoa; Chordata; Mammalia; Dermoptera; Cynocephalidae. The transcript has 3 exons.